Molecule: ribosomal RNA, 464 nt
Filed under: uncultured bacterium
Lineage: Bacteria
Description: partial 16S ribosomal RNA
Rfam family: Bacterial small subunit ribosomal RNA
Source: RNAcentral
AUUGAACGCUGGCGGCAUGCUUUACACAUGCAAGUCGAACGGCAGCGCGGGCUUCGGCCUGGCGGCGAGUGGCGAACGGGUGAGUAAUGCAUCGGAACGUGCCCAGUUGUGGGGGAUAGCCCGGCGAAAGCCGGAUUAAUACCGCAUACGACCUGAGGGUGCAAGCGGGGGACCGAAAGGCCUCGCGCUUUUUGAGGGGCCGGUGCCGGGCUAGCUAGUUGGUGGGGUAGAGGCUUACCAAGGCGGGCAUGCGUAGCUGGUCUGAGAGGGCGACCAGCCACAUUGGGACUGAGGUACGGCCGAGGCACCUACGGGGGGCAGCAGGGGGGAAUAUGACGCAAUGGGCGGAAGGACGAUGUAGCCACGGCGCGUGCGGGCGGACGGCAUGCGGGGUGAAAACCGAUAGGGACUGGGACGAGGCGUGAGUGACGGUAAUGGGUAAAGAAGCACCGGCUAACUACGUG